GUGAAGCCCAGCUUGCUGGGUGGAUCAGUGGCGAACGGGUGAGUAACACGUGAGCAACCUGCCCUCCACUUCGGGAUAAGCCUUGGAAACGGGGUCUAAUACCGGAUAUGAGCUCGCAUCGCAUGGUGUGGGUUGGAAAGUUUUUCGGUGGGGGAUGGGCUCGCGGCCUAUCAGCUUGUUGGUGGGGUGAUGGCCUACCAAGGCGUCGACGGGUAGCCGGCCUGAGAGGGCGACCGGCCACACUGGGACUGAGACACGGCCCAGACUCCUACGGGAGGCAGCAGUGGGGAAUAUUGCACAAUGGGCGCAAGCCUGAUGCAGCGACGCCGCGUGAGGGAUGACGGCCUUCGGGUUGUAAACCUCUUUCAGCAGGGAAGAAGCGCAAGUGACGGUACCUGCAGAAGAAGCGCCGGCUAACUACGUGCCAGCAGCCGCGGUAAUACGUAGGGCGCAAGCGUUGUCCGGAAUUAUUGGGCGUAAAGAGCUCGUAGGCGGUCUGUCGCGUCUGGUGUGAAAUCCCGAGGCUCAACCUCGGGCUUGCAUCGGGUACGGGCAGACUAGAGUGCGGUAGGGGAGACUGGAAUUCCUGGUGUAGCGGUGGAAUGCGCAGAUAUCAGGAGGAACACCGAUGGCGAAGGCAGGUCUCUGGGCCGCAACUGACGCUGAGGAGCGAAAGCAUGGGGAGCGAACAGGAUUAGAUACCCUGGUAGUCCAUGCCGUAAACGUUGGGCACUAGGUGUGGGGCUCAUUCCACGAGUUCCGUGCCGCAGCUAACGCAUUAAGUGCCCCGCCUGGGGAGUACGGCCGCAAGGCUAAAACUCAAAGGAAUUGACGGGGGCCCGCACAAGCGGCGGAGCAUGCGGAUUAAUUCGAUGCAACGCGAAGAACCUUACCAAGGCUUGACAUGUACGAGAAAGCCCCCGAGACGGGGUUCUCUUUGGACACUCGUACACAGGUGGUGCAUGGUUGUCGUCAGCUCGUGUCGUGAGAUGUUGGGUUAAGUCCCGCAACGAGCGCAACCCUCGUCCUAUGUUGCCAGCGGGUUAUGCCGGGGACUCAUGGGAGACUGCCGGGGUCAACUCGGAGGAAGGUGGGGAUGACGUCAAAUCAUCAUGCCCCUUAUGUCUUGGGCUUCACGCAUGCUACAAUGGCCGGUACAGAGGGCUGCGAUACCGUAAGGUGGAGCGAAUCCCAAAAAGCCGGUCUCAGUUCGG
Molecule: ribosomal RNA, 1214 nt
Filed under: uncultured bacterium
Lineage: Bacteria
Description: bacterial SSU rRNA
Rfam family: Bacterial small subunit ribosomal RNA
Source: RNAcentral